This 297-nucleotide unclassified non-coding RNA is filed under the name uncultured fungus. RNAcentral's name for it is "sequence contains ITS2". The stretch from base 1 to 52 matches the Rfam family "5.8S ribosomal RNA", at positions 103 to 154 of the family's 154-position model. The record is from RNAcentral. Lineage: Eukaryota; Fungi.
AACGCACCUUGCACCCUUUGGUAUUCCGAAGGGUAUGCCUGUUUGAGUGUCAUUAAAUUCUCAAGCUCAGAAAUUUUGCUUUUUGGGCUUGGAUCUGGGGGUUGCUGAGACUUUGCAAGGCUCUGGCUCCUCUUAAAAGCAUUAGUGGCUUGUCGAUCCCCAUCUCGGUGUGAUAGCCAUAUCUACAUCUCGGUGGUUAGGUCAUGCAAUGGCAAUUUGGCUGCUCUCUAACCGUCUCCUCUGAGACAAUUUGAACCAUUUGACCUCAAAUCAGGUAGGACUACCCGCUGAACUUAA